UUCUAAAACCGCAAACAUUAAAUUUCCUCCAUCCCUGUCUCCCUCCAUGAAAUCCUGCGUGCAAAAGUGCAGAAGUUUCCAAAACAAAACUAAACCCAUCCGUUUCGCAAAGCAUACGGAGCUUUAAGCACAAACUACGAAAUUAACGCUCUAAACACACGAGACAUCCAACGUCGCUCAUGCCAACGUCGCCAACAGUGGGUUUCUCCGGACCAUCGGUCCCAAACGCGUGAGAGAGAGCCAGCGAAACUCGAUGUCAUCGCGUGCCCGUCCACCAAGCGAAAGCGCAACAGCCUCCGCAGCUUCGGGGCUUGUCCCGGUAAGUUGAGUCGGAGGUGCUUUCUCAGGUAUAAAAAACACGCGGGAUCCAGCGAAACGCUUGAUUGACCAGAUGUCGGAGAAAAGCACAGCGGGUCGAGAUCUGCAAGGACGAGAAUCAGUCGUAUUGUCUUAAUUUUUACCACCGGGGAGAUCGUCUCGUGGGAGUGUCCAAAAUAUCCACGUGUCGUUUAGCCCUUGGGAGUUUAGUUCUUGAGCUAUGGCAGAUUUCCAAUGGUGACCUUGGGAAGACGUCAUGGCUUGCGUCUUGGUCGUUGGCUCCAUGAAUAUCGCGGCAAGGGUUAUAAGAGCGUGCUUCGGUCUGGAGGGUCGCGAUGGAGUAUUCCGCGUCCGAAGGGAACUUGGAUCAUAAUUUUCGGAUGGGUCUCGCGGUGGGGGUACGCCUUUGUUGGUGCGAGAAGACUUGCGAACGGGUACAGGAGAGGUUCCAUGCUGGGGCUCAACGGGAGAGUCAGCAACAUGGUCCGGCCUGGGAGCUUGUUUGUGGUGGCCUAAAUGAUGCAUGAGGGCCAAGCUGGUGAGAGAUCGGACGUCAUGCCGCGGGGACGGUCUAGCCGGGAGGAGUGGUGGUACCUCGGGUAAGGAUGAUUGUUUAAGUCGGGACUGAGCACGGGCGGAAUCUGGAGCCGGGGGAAGCAAAAUAUGAAAAUUUCUCAACCCCGGGCUGGGGCCAUCAGUAGCAUCUGGUUCCGGAGCAGCAGACGAGAGGUGAUCAUCAAGAGGAUUCGUGACAGGUAGUGAAGGAGGACGUUGAUGCUGGUCCGACGGCACCUGCGGAGCAUCAGAAAGAGGGUGUUGGGGCUCACGCGUGGAUACACGCGCAGGUGGAGUGGCAGGGAGCUGCGACCCGCUGGGAAGAAAGAAAUGUGGGUCUUCCUGGAGUCUGGCAUCGGGUGAGCGGCUGGCCUGAACAGGUUGGCUGGGAGCAGCAGGCUCCUUCCGAAAGAUGACGUCCCUGGAGACGACGGUGGCGCCGAUGCGGAGGAGUUGAACCUUGUAUCCCUUGCUGACCGGGCUAUAGCCAAGGAAUAUGCAAGCCUCCGUUUUUCCAUCAAGCUUGACACGGAGCGGGUCAGGGAUUUUUGCAUAACAUCGACUUCCAAAUACACGAAUGUGAGUGAGAUCGGGCUUCUUAUUGUGCCACAUCUCGAAUGGAGUGGUGUGAGAAGGAAUAGCCUUAGUGGGAAGUCGAUUUUGGAUAUACGUAGUACAGGUGAAUGCUUCUCCCCAAUACGAUUUAGAGAGUUGAGCUUCAUGAAGCAUGCACCUUGUGGUGUCAAAGAGAGUUCGAUUCUUGCGUUCAACCACAUCAUUUUGGUCUGGUGUAUACAUUGUGGUGAGUUGACGUUGAAUGCCAUGUGCUUCCAAGUAUUGAGUGAAUUCUAAAGAUAAGUAUUCUCCUCCUUGAUCGGAGAUGAGAGUUCUGAUUUUAUAGCCGGUUUGAUUUUCA
Molecule: non-coding RNA, 1789 nt
Organism: Physcomitrium patens
Lineage: Eukaryota; Viridiplantae; Streptophyta; Bryopsida; Funariales; Funariaceae
Source: RefSeq, a predicted model, not a curated record